UACGGGGGGGGCAAGCGUUGUUCGGAAUUACUGGGCGUAAAGGGCCCGUAGGCGGCCAACUAAGUCAGACGUGAAAUCCCUCGGCUUAACCGGGGAAUGGCGUCUGAUACUGGAUGGCUCGAGUUUGGGAGAGGGAUGCGGAAUUCCAGGUGUAGCGGUGAAAUGCGUAGAUAUCAGGAGGAACACCGGUGGCGAAGGCGGAUCUCUGGGCCUGUCCUGACGCUCAGGCGCGAAAGCUAGGGGAGCAAACAGG
This 253-nucleotide ribosomal RNA is filed under the name uncultured bacterium. RNAcentral's name for it is "partial 16S ribosomal RNA". It matches the Rfam family "Bacterial small subunit ribosomal RNA", at positions 524 to 776 of the family's 1533-position model. The record is from RNAcentral.